Molecule: ribosomal RNA, 498 nt
Filed under: Escherichia coli
Lineage: Bacteria; Pseudomonadati; Pseudomonadota; Gammaproteobacteria; Enterobacterales; Enterobacteriaceae
Also listed under: 1 other name
Description: partial 23S ribosomal RNA
Rfam family: Bacterial large subunit ribosomal RNA
Source: RNAcentral
GGACACGUGGUAUCCUGUCUGAAUAUGGGGGGACCAUCCUCCAAGGCUAAAUACUCCUGACUGACCGAUAGUGAACCAGUACCGUGAGGGAAAGGCGAAAAGAACCCCGGCGAGGGGAGUGAAAAAGAACCUGAAACCGUGUACGUACAAGCAGUGGGAGCACGCUUAGGCGUGUGACUGCGUACCUUUUGUAUAAUGGGUCAGCGACUUAUAUUCUGUAGCAAGGUUAACCGAAUAGGGGAGCCGAAGGGAAACCGAGUCUUAACUGGGCGUUAAGUUGCAGGGUAUAGACCCGAAACCCGGUGAUCUAGCCAUGGGCAGGUUGAAGGUUGGGUAACACUAACUGGAGGACCGAACCGACUAAUGUUGAAAAAUUAGCGGAUGACUUGUGGCUGGGGGUGAAAGGCCAAUCAAACCGGGAGAUAGCUGGUUCUCCCCGAAAGCUAUUUAGGUAGCGCCUCGUGAAUUCAUCUCCGGGGGUAGAGCACUGUUUCGGCA